AGGAGAUGGCUGGGAUGAAAUACUGGUAGUGCUGGGACCUGGUGCUGUCAGUACACUUAAUUUUUGUUGAUCUGCACUUUUUUUAACACUUUGAAAUCCUUUCUCCACUUCACUUUUCAACUCUUUGAAACCGUAUUUUGAACAGCUUUGAUGUCCUGCUGAACCUCUGCUUGGAGUUGAUCAACCAUGAAUCGUAGUUCGGACACCAAGGUAGAUUCCACCUUCUGGAGUUCUUCCGUGAUCAUUACCUUCAUCGCUUUAGUCAGCAAGAUCAGCAAUCUGGCUCUGGUGCUGAGAAGAGGUAUCUUUCACUUCCUGGGAGUUGGUAGAAUGUUGGGCAGGUCAUGUUGUGCCACUGACGAAGGAGUUCCACCUUCAGAAGAGGUGCAAAGUUGCAUGUUAUCCACUUGUGUUGCCCAGGUGAGAGUUUGUACUGGAGUGCUCCCAGCCAGAGCAGGAGAGGACAUGUGCACACGGGUUCCAGGAUGAACAGAACUGAGUGGAGUGGGGGUAUGGUAGAACACCGGAGCAUAUGGAGGUUGUUCCAGAGGCAUCCCUGGUCGCAGUGCAGGCGGCCAUACUGGAGUUGAGAUGUCUGGUGGAGGCUCAAUUUCCACAAAAGUAGUUUGGGAAGGAGGGGUAUGCGCCAUGAUUGCUGUGAUUGAGUGUAAGAAUGUUGAGUGUGAAAAACAAUAAAUAUCAGUAAAUGAGAUGUGUAUCAGUGUGUUUGUCCCUGAAAUAUUUCUACUAAACAACAGAAUACAACUUUUCACAACUGUUCAAUCAGUAUUAUCUCACAACCACUAGGUAAAUCAAAACAAUAAGUAUUCAAAGUAAUUCACCUUCACUUAUUUCAAAUAUUCAAACAAUUAUCAAUUACUGUGACACCUUAGAGAUAACACCUCUAAUUGUUCAUUUAGCGUUCACAGUUUAUACAAAAAAAAAAACAAUUUUCACAAGCAUAAACAAUUUACAAGAUUAAUUCAGACAGUUUCAUUGUUUCACUAAUUUUCCAAAAAAGAAAAAAUAUAUAUAUAAAGUUUUCAAAUCAAUGUUUCAGAGGUGCAUUUUUUUUUUUAAAGUGUUCAAUAGUUCACAGGGAUUGUCAAAAUCAAAAAACUCAAGUUUCAAGUGUUAAAGCAGGUUUCAGUUCAGGUCCCUGUUCGGGCGCCACUCUAUAACGGUGGUAGCCGCCCUAACUCAAAUACUAUUUUAAAGAAGAAAAAAAAACCUUCGGGCGCCAGACAGGAUUAAACCUAUCAAAAAUUAACUUAACCCCGGAUAGCAGGAAAAUAACCACCUGUUACACAACAAAUUAUAAUAAUAAUCCCAGACUAAAAGGUCAUCAGGAUAUUUAUUCUUCCAUAUGUUCAAAAUCAUAAUAACACAGAAAACUGAAAUGGACAACAAAAUAAAAAACAAAAAAAAACAAAAUAAGCAAUGACCACACGUUCCCACUAGCGGUCUCUGGUCUUCGAAAUCCGUGCCCGUGCCAGAAACCGACCGCGUCACGC
Long non-coding RNA from Cyprinus carpio carpio, 1514 nucleotides. NCBI's taxonomy places the organism in Eukaryota, Metazoa, Chordata, Actinopteri, Cypriniformes, Cyprinidae. The record is from Ensembl.